Molecule: ribosomal RNA, 505 nt
Filed under: soil fungal sp. DM2-245
Lineage: Eukaryota; Fungi
Description: eukaryotic LSU rRNA
Rfam family: Eukaryotic large subunit ribosomal RNA
Source: RNAcentral
UUAAAGAAGCGUUUUCGGUGGCAGCCUGGGUAUAAAUCCUUUGGAACAGGGUAUCAUAGAGGGUGAGAAUCCCGUCUUUGACUCAGUGCAUGCUACUAUGUGAUACGUUUUCAAAGAGUCGAGUUGUUUGGGAAUGCAGNNNANAAGGGGUGGUAAAUUUCAUCUAAAGCUAAAUAUUGGCGAGAGACCGAUAGCGAACAAGUACCGUGAGGGAAAGAUGAAAAGAACUUUGAAAAGAGAGUUAAACAGUGCGUGAAAUUGUUGAAAGGGAAACGCUUGACACCAGUCAUGCGAGCGGAAAAUCAGUCUUUUGCAGUGGGGAGUUGUGUGGGUUCGGACCGCAAGGCCGGCCUGCGCUGCAUCUCUGCUGUAAGUGAUGCACUUUUUCGUUUGCAGGCCAACAUCAGUUUCUUCUGCUGGACAAAACUCUUGAGAAGGUGGCAGCUUAGGCUGUGUUAUAGCUCUUGAGCGAUACAGUGGAGGGGACUGAGGUUUUCGCAGCGCG